UUAAGUUCAGCGGGUAUUCCUACCUGAUCCGAGGUCAACCUUGAAAAAUUGGGGGGUUUUACGGCGUGGCCGUGCCGCUCUCCGGUGCGAUGUGCAUUACUACGCAGGGGAGGCUGCGGCGCGACCGCCACUGAAUUUAGGGGGCAGGGGCCGUACGGACCCUGAUCCCCAACACCGGGCCUCCGCUAGGCGGGGGCCCG
This 200-nucleotide unclassified non-coding RNA is filed under the name uncultured fungus. RNAcentral's name for it is "sequence contains ITS2". Lineage: Eukaryota; Fungi. The record is from RNAcentral.